CGUGUAGGCGGGAAAACAAGUCAGAUGUGAAAACUGUGGGCUCAACCCACAGCCUGCAUUUGAAACUGUUUCUCUUGAGUACUGGAGAGGCAGAUGGAAUUCCUAGUGUAGCGGUGAAAUGCGUAGAUAUUAGGAGGAACACCAGUGGCGAAGGCGAUCUGCUGGACAGCAACUGACGCUGAGGCGCGAAGCGUGGGAGCAAACA
RNAcentral lists this ribosomal RNA (205 nucleotides) under uncultured bacterium. RNAcentral's name for it is "partial 16S ribosomal RNA". It matches the Rfam family "Bacterial small subunit ribosomal RNA", at positions 568 to 774 of the family's 1533-position model. The record is from RNAcentral.